This 523-nucleotide ribosomal RNA is filed under the name uncultured fungus. RNAcentral describes it as "SSU rRNA". It matches the Rfam family "Eukaryotic small subunit ribosomal RNA", at positions 14 to 538 of the family's 1831-position model. The record is from RNAcentral. Lineage: Eukaryota; Fungi.
CUGCCAGUAGUCAUAUGCUUGUCUCAAAGAUUAAGCCAUGCAUGUCUAAGUAUAAGCAAUUUAUACAGUGAAACUGCGAAUGGCUCAUUAAAUCAGUUAUCGUUUAUUUGAUAGUUCCUUUACUACAUGGUAUAACUGUGGUAAUUCUAGAGCUAAUACAUGCUUAAAAUCUCGACCCUUUGGAAGAGAUGUAUUUAUUAGAUAAAAAAUCAAUGUCUUCGGACUCUUUGAUGAUUCAUAAUAACUUUUCGAAUCGUAUGGCCUUGUGCUGGCGAUGGUUCAUUCAAAUUUCUGCCCUAUCAACUUUCGAUGGUAGGAUAGUGGCCUACCAUGGUUUCAACGGGUAACGGGGAAUAAGGGUUCGAUUCCGGAGAGGGAGCCUGAGAAACGGCUACCACAUCCAAGGAAGGCAGCAGGCGCGCAAAUUACCCAAUCCUAAUUCAGGGAGGUAGUGACAAUAAAUAACGAUACAGGGCCCAUUCGGGUCUUGUAAUUGGAAUGAGUACAAUGUAAAUACCUUAAC